AGAGUUUGAUCAUGGCUCAGAUUGAACGCUGGCGGCAGGCCUAACACUGCAAGUCGAGCGGUAGCACAGAGAGCUUGCUCUCGGGUGACGAGCGGCGGACGGGUGAGUAAUGUCUGGGAAACUGCCUGAUGGAGGGGGAUAACUACUGGAAACGGUAGCUAAUACCGCAUAACGUCGCAAGACCAAAGUGGGGGACCUUCGGGCCUCAUGCCAUCAGAUGUGCCAGAUGGGAUUAGCUAGUAGGUGGGGUAACGGCUCACCUAGGCGACGAUCCCUAGCUGGUCUGAGAGGAUGACCAGCCACACUGGAACUGAGACACGGUCCAGACUCCUACGGGAGGCAGCAGUGGGGAAUAUUGCACAAUGGGCGCAAGCCUGAUGCAGCCAUGCCGCGUGUGUGAAGAAGGCCUUCGGGUUGUAAAGCACUUUCAGCGGGGAGGAAGGCGGUGAGGUUAAUAACCUCAUCGAUUGACGUUACCCGCAGAAGAAGCACCGGCUAACUCCGUGCCAGCAGCCGCGGUAAUACGGAGGUGCAAGCGUUAAUCGGAAUUACUGGGCGUAAAGCGCACGCAGGCGGUCUGUCAAGUCGGAUGUGAAAUCCCGGGCUCAACCUGGGAACUGCAUUCGAAACUGGCAGGCUAGAGUCUUGUAGAGGGGGGUAGAAUUCCAGGUGUAGCGGUGAAAUGCGUAGAGAUCUGGAGGAAUACCGGUGGCGAAGGCGGCCCCCUGGACAAAGACUGACGCUCAGGUGCGAAAGCGUGGGGAGCAAACAGGAUUAGAUACCCUGGUAGUCCACGCCGUAAACGAUGUCGAUUUGGAGGUUGUGCCCUUGAGGCGUGGCUUCCGGAGCUAACGCGUUAAAUCGACCGCCUGGGGAGUACGGCCGCAAGGUUAAAACUCAAAUGAAUUGACGGGGGCCCGCACAAGCGGUGGAGCAUGUGGUUUAAUUCGAUGCAACGCGAAGAACCUUACCUGGUCUUGACAUCCACAGAACUUUCCAGAGAUGGAUUGGUGCCUUCGGGAACUGUGAGACAGGUGCUGCAUGGCUGUCGUCAGCUCGUGUUGUGAAAUGUUGGGUUAAGUCCCGCAACGAGCGCAACCCUUAUCCUUUGUUGCCAGCGGUUAGGCCGGGAACUCAAAGGAGACUGCCAGUGAUAAACUGGAGGAAGGUGGGGAUGACGUCAAGUCAUCAUGGCCCUUACGACCAGGGCUACACACGUGCUACAAUGGCAUAUACAAAGAGAAGCGACCUCGCGAGAGCAAGCGGACCUCAUAAAGUAUGUCGUAGUCCGGAUUGGAGUCUGCAACUCGACUCCAUGAAGUCGGAAUCGCUAGUAAUCGUAGAUCAGAAUGCUACGGUGAAUACGUUCCCGGGCCUUGGUACACACCGCCCGUCACACCAUGGGAGUGGGUUGCAAAAGAAGUAGGUAGCUUAACCUUCGGGAGGGCGCUUACCACUUUGUGAUUCAUGACUGGGGUGAAGUCGUAACAAGGUAACCGUAGGGGAACCUGCGGUUGGAUCACCU
Molecule: ribosomal RNA, 1525 nt
Filed under: Klebsiella pneumoniae
Lineage: Bacteria; Pseudomonadati; Pseudomonadota; Gammaproteobacteria; Enterobacterales; Enterobacteriaceae
Description: bacterial SSU rRNA
Rfam family: Bacterial small subunit ribosomal RNA
Source: RNAcentral